GCUGUGGCUGGGGCUCCGUCGAGCGGCUAUUGAGUAAUAGGCAGCAAAGAGAGAAACAGAGUGGCAGAGAGGCAGAGACAGUGAGAGAGUGAGAGAGGCGCAUUGAAAACGAAAGUGAAAAGAAGAAGAGCAGACGGCAAAAGUGUGGCAAUCGCAUGUUGCUGUUGGUUGCCUGCUGCUGCGGCUAUUACUGUGGCUAAUCGCUAGUCACUGACUAGUUAGCCCCACUGUCCUCCCUAGGCCCACAAACAUACACAUACACAUACACACACACACACACAACUACAUACAACACACAAAAAAAUGUUAACGCAAAGAGGAAGUCAAGUUUUCCUGUGGAACUAAUUCGAGUGCUUAGCAAAACCAACAAUUUCCGAAACAAAAUUGCUGCAGGAAAAACCCCCACACACACACACACACACACACACACACUCCACCGUGGUUUAAACAUUGAAGUAAAGAGAUACCGAGUUCAUGGCAAGAGAUAUGGGUAUGUGAGAGGCUAAGUCAAUCAAUCAAUCGACAGUCAAUAAUUAUUGGCCAAAGUCACGGAAUCAAUGACACAAAUUCGCGCUACCAAUGUCACCGCCGCCGCCCGUCCAGCCAUCUCAUCUCAACAGAGAUUCGCGCAACGCGCCACAAUCAACGUGCAACGUAGACGUUGGGCCAUUCGAGUGGCAGCCAUAGUUUAAUGUUUUUAAUGUACAAAUUAUGGCCUCCUGGGCUGGGCUGUGCGAACGGUGGAAUGGGUGAUGCGGAAUUGUGUGCCAUUUGUGGCACUCCACCAAAUAGGCCACAACCAGUAAAACAUAACCAGCCAAAGGUGGGUGGGAAGCAGUUUUCUCUUUUGAGCUGUCCCAAUGGGUGGCGGCGUUCAAGGUCGAUUGUCGUGCCACUGCCGCCCAGAAACCCGUUGCUCCUCCAAACGGAAAAAGCUUAGUUUCGUGGCGUUGGAUUGCGCAUAUCCAUUUAUCCAUUGCCCAAUGCUACGAGCCGUCAACUAAUGCGAUUUAUUUUUGUUGGAUGCCAUUGUCUGCAUUGCCGCAGACUCGCGUGGAUCGGAGCGUGGAUUGUGUGCUCCAGAGACGAUUGCGAUGGAUUGCUAUUCUAAUUGUAUUAUUUAGUUGCAAUCCUGGACCAUGGUUUCUCUCUAUCAUUUCCCGCCAUCUAUUGCUUUAAAUGAAGCUCCAAGAAAUGCUUGGUCAGCAUGGAAGCACCUGCUCCUGAGAUUAUUUGCUGAUUAUGUGCCAAUAAUACCAAUGCCUUGAGGAUUUUGUAUCUGUAAGUACAUCCAGGAUGUUGGCCACGCAUUUGAAUUUCAUAGCUUGGGCACUACCUUGAGGCUGUUGGAGGCGGACAUUUUGGAUGGAUGGAUGACACCCGGGAAUGAUAGUAUGAUAUGUAUGAUAGUCAUCAUACCAUACAUACAUAGAUACCGCAGCACAUUUUUUUCGAAGUCCAUUGAGGAAAAACAGGAAUGACAACCAGUCAAAAUACGAAAUGAACUGAUUUUUGUCACUUUGCUCAGCAUGCCGAGCAAUUUACUCCAUAGUAUGUUCUAUGAGUUUAAAUAGUAGUAUUGUAGUAGUAUAAGCAGGAGCAUUAAUUCGUUAUAAAUAUUUCUGUUUGAAAUCCAAAUUAAUUUAUUAUUUAAAAUUCUCAGUUCAACUAAAUUUCGUGUAAAAUGUGGGCGAUGAAUUUGUACUCUGUGCUGUGCGUUAGCUGCCUUCUAUUUGUCAUGAUCCAUCGACGACAUGGCGACAUACAAGCAGCUCCCAUCCACAGUACGCAUGGUUCUGGCGGCUCGACCGAGUCAUCGCUCCAGGAAAGCAACUCUGCGAUUCAGGGCCCGAAGAUAGACGAGGCUAUCAUGGACCCUGGACAGACACAAGAAUUGGUAUCCGUAUCCGAAUCGAACAUGGCACUGCCUACGGGACUGAGCCGCAAAUUCACUUCGAAAAUUGUGAAAAAUUCACCGACAGUUGACAAUGACAGUGUCAGUGAGAAGCAAAAGGCCGGCGUUAAGCAACGUCAGGGUCGAGCUAUAAAGAUCGUUUUGCUCGUUUCGGGACGGGGGUAACGAAGACAUGGCCGAAGGAGCUUACCAUACCACUAGCUCGCGGAAUUGUAGACAA
This is an RNA transcript of Drosophila obscura, 2135 nucleotides long. RefSeq lists it as uncharacterized. The transcript is spliced from 5 exons. The record is from RefSeq and is a predicted model, not a curated record. Lineage: Eukaryota; Metazoa; Arthropoda; Insecta; Diptera; Drosophilidae.